GUGCUCACUUCAGCAGCACAUAUGCUAAAAUUGGAACGAUACAGAGAAAAUUGGCAUGGCCCCUGCGCAAGGAUGACACGCAAAUUCAUAAAGCAUUCCACAUUUAA
This 107-nucleotide small nuclear RNA is filed under the name Jaculus jaculus (lesser Egyptian jerboa). Lineage: Eukaryota; Metazoa; Chordata; Mammalia; Rodentia; Dipodidae. The record is from RNAcentral.